AGCCCUCGUCGAAAAUCCCAAGAGCGAACUGCCCGUAACCAUGCGGGAACGUAAACAAGUGCUGGUCCACAUUCUGCCGGAGGAGAGCAGAAGAAAGAAAGUCAUGCACAUAUGGGACUGGAUGAAGGUCUCAGCUUUAUAAUGACAUCUAGUUUGAGCUUCUAGUCCACUCAGAGGCCGAGAUAUUCGAUGAAACAACAGGAAUGGUGCAUGAACUGAAAAUUAGACUGAAUGUCCAUGGACGAGCACAUCUGUGAGAGCUGAGGUGCAUUUGAGCGCCACCUACA
Long non-coding RNA from Myxocyprinus asiaticus (Chinese sucker), 287 nucleotides. RefSeq lists it as uncharacterized. The transcript has 3 exons. Lineage: Eukaryota; Metazoa; Chordata; Actinopteri; Cypriniformes; Catostomidae. The record is from RefSeq and is a predicted model, not a curated record.